ACAGCAGCAGCCACGGUAAUACGAAGGGUGCAAGCGUUACUCGGAAUUACUGGGCGUAAAGCGUGCGUAGGUGGUCGUUUAAGUCUGUUGUGAAAGCCCUGGGCUCAACCUGGGAACUGCAGUGGAAACUGGACGACUAGAGUGUGGUAGAGGGUAGCGGAAUUCCUGGUGUAGCAGUGAAAUGCGUAGAGAUCAGGAGGAACAUCCAUGGCGAAGGCAGCUACCUGGACCAACACUGACACUGAGGCACGAAAGCGUGGGGAGCAAACAGGAUUAGAUACCCGUGUAGUCCCUGUCUCUUAUAC
This 305-nucleotide ribosomal RNA is filed under the name uncultured bacterium. RNAcentral's name for it is "partial 16S ribosomal RNA". It matches the Rfam family "Bacterial small subunit ribosomal RNA", at positions 506 to 807 of the family's 1533-position model. The record is from RNAcentral.